AUUGAACGCUGGCGGCAGGCCUAACACAUGCAAGUCGAGCGGAGCGGCGGACGGGUGAGUAAUGCCUAGGAAUCGGCCUGGGAGUGGGGGAUAACGUACGGAAACGGGCGCUAACACCGCAUAAUAUCAGAUGAGCCUAGGUCGGAUUAGCUGGUGGGUGGGGUAACGGCCUACCAAGGCGACGAUCCGUAACUGGUUUGAGAGGAUGAUCAGUCACACUGGAACUGAGACACGGUCCAGACUCCUCCGGUAGGCAGCAGUGAGGAAUAUUGGACAAUGGGCGAAAGCCUGAUUCAGCCAUGCCGCGUGUGUGAAGAAGGUCUUCGGAUUGUAAAGCACUUUAAGUUGGGAGGCGUUACCAACAGAAUAAGCACCGGCUAACUUCGUGCCAGCCGCCGCGGUAAUAC
This 407-nucleotide ribosomal RNA is filed under the name uncultured bacterium. RNAcentral's name for it is "partial 16S ribosomal RNA". It matches the Rfam family "Bacterial small subunit ribosomal RNA", at positions 30 to 526 of the family's 1533-position model. The record is from RNAcentral.